Molecule: long non-coding RNA, 543 nt
Organism: Dermacentor andersoni
Lineage: Eukaryota; Metazoa; Arthropoda; Arachnida; Ixodida; Ixodidae
Source: RefSeq, a predicted model, not a curated record
AUCAAAGGUCUAUUUGGUGGCCUUUCUAGAAUCCUCUUCUAGAAAGCUUCUCCGUUUUUGAUGUAACAAAACAGAAAUAUCUAAGAUGUGUUAUAAGGAGAGAUUUUAGUUGCAAGCCGCAGUCUUUGCUGGGACAAUUACUGAGCGUUAAGUUCCCUAUAGAGAACAACACCGUUACAAGCAUUUACGUCUCCAAAGCCAUGCGCAUCUUCACAACCGCCAGUACACUCGUACUGUUCCUGAUCGUGCUUUCUCGGGAUGUUUCCUCGCGAUCGCUGAUGGCGAUGGCACUCCCAGCUGGCCUCUCCUCGGCAGGGUCUUCCGCGGGCGGUGCCGGUGCACUGCUUGAAGAAAGGUCUCUCAUCGAAACGAACCCAGCCACGGAGCGGUCCUUACAAGACGAACACACGCCCCUGGUGGCUUAUCCACCUUUCGAGUGAAGAUGUUUGUUGGACGCACCUAACGUUCGAAAAUAUUUACUGCGAAAUGCUUGGGAGGCUCAUGACCCGUAAAUAAAUAGAAAUGCCUGUAUUUGUGCACCUG